This 253-nucleotide ribosomal RNA is filed under the name uncultured bacterium. RNAcentral describes it as "partial 16S ribosomal RNA". It matches the Rfam family "Bacterial small subunit ribosomal RNA", at positions 524 to 776 of the family's 1533-position model. The record is from RNAcentral.
UCCGUAGGGCGCGAGCGUUAUCCGGAAUUAUUGGGCGUAAAGAGCUCGUAGGCGGUUUGUCACGUCUGCUGUGAAAACUGGAGGCUCAACCUCCAGCCUGCAGUGGGUACGGGCAGACUAGAGUGCGGUAGGGGAGAUUGGAAUUCCUGGUGUAGCGGUGGAAUGCGCAGAUAUCAGGAGGAACACCGAUGGCGAAAGCAGAUCUCUGGGCCGUAACUGACGCUGAGGAGCGAAAGCAUGGGGAGCGAACAGG